AUAGGCCUACGGGGGGCAGCAGUGGGGGAUAUUGGACAAUGGGGGGAACCCUGAUCCAGCGACGCCGCGUGAGUGAAGAAGUAUUUCGGUAUGUAAAGCUCUGUCAGCAGGGAAGAAAGAAAUGACGGUACCUGACCAAGAAGCCCCGGCUAACUACGUGCCAGCAGCCGCGGUAAUACGUAGGGGGCAAGCGUUAUCCGGAUUUACUGGGUGUAAAGGGAGCGUAGACGGCUGUGCAAGUCUGAAGUGAAAUGCCGGGGCCCAACCCCGGAACUGCUUUGGAAACUGUACAGCUAGAGUGCAGG
RNAcentral lists this ribosomal RNA (305 nucleotides) under uncultured bacterium. RNAcentral's name for it is "bacterial SSU rRNA". It matches the Rfam family "Bacterial small subunit ribosomal RNA", at positions 333 to 652 of the family's 1533-position model. The record is from RNAcentral.